GAUGAACGCUGGCGGCGUGCCUAAUACAUGCAAGUCGAGCGAACGGACGAGAAGCUUGCUUCUCUGAUGUUAGCGGCGGACGGGUGAGUAACACGUGGAUAACCUACCUAUAAGACUGGGAUAACUUCGGGAAACCGGAGCUAAUACCGGAUAAUAUUAUGAACCGCAUGGUUCAAAAGUGAAAGACGGUCUUGCUGUCACUUAUAGAUGGAUCCGCGCUGCAUUAGCUAGUUGGUAAGGUAACGGCUUACCAAGGCAACGAUGCAUAGCCGACCUGAGAGGGUGAUCGGCCACACUGGAACUGAGACACGGUCCAGACUCCUACGGGAGGCAGCAGUAGGGAAUCUUCCGCAAUGGGCGAAAGCCUGACGGAGCAACGCCGCGUGAGUGAUGAAGGUCUUCUGAUCGUAAAACUCUGUUAUUAGGGAAGAACAUAUGUGUAAGUAACUGUGCACAUCUUGACGGUACCUAAUCAGAAAGCCACGGCUAACUACGUG
RNAcentral lists this ribosomal RNA (497 nucleotides) under uncultured bacterium. RNAcentral describes it as "partial 16S ribosomal RNA". It matches the Rfam family "Bacterial small subunit ribosomal RNA", at positions 28 to 507 of the family's 1533-position model. The record is from RNAcentral.